CAGCCGCCGCGGUAAUACGUAGGUGGCAAGCGUUGUCCGGAAUUAUUGGGCGUAAAGGGCUCGCAGGCGGUUUCUUAAGUCUGAUGUGAAAGCCCCCGGCUCAACCGGGGAGGGUCAUUGGAAACUGGGAAACUCGAGUGCAGAAGAGGAGAGUGGAAUUCCACGUGUAGCGGUGAAAUGCGUAGAGAUGUGGAGGAACACCAGUGGCGAAGGCGACUCUCUGGUCUGUAACUGACGCUGAGGAGCGAAAGCGUGGGGAGCGAACAGGAUUAGAGACCCCUGUAGUCCCUGUCUCUUAUAC
This 301-nucleotide ribosomal RNA is filed under the name uncultured bacterium. RNAcentral's name for it is "partial 16S ribosomal RNA". It matches the Rfam family "Bacterial small subunit ribosomal RNA", at positions 509 to 807 of the family's 1533-position model. The record is from RNAcentral.